UACUUCAACAUAAUAAAGGUCAUAUAUGAAAAAUCCACAGCUAAUACCAUCCUCAACAGGAAAAAACAGACCUUUUCCUCUGCAGUCAGGAACAUGGCAGGGAUGUCCCCUAUCACCAUGUUAUUCAACAUAGGAAGUCCUAGUCACAACAAUCAGACAGCAAAAAGAAACAAAAGGCAUCCAAAUAGGCAGUGAAGUAGUAAAAUUUUCACUACAUGCAGAUGACAAGAUACUAUGAAAACCCUGAAGACACCACCAAAAAAUUCUAGAA
Molecule: long non-coding RNA, 271 nt
Organism: Mustela erminea (ermine)
Lineage: Eukaryota; Metazoa; Chordata; Mammalia; Carnivora; Mustelidae
Exons: 3
Source: RefSeq, a predicted model, not a curated record